CAAUCUGACAACUUAGAAGUCAUUGACACAAUGAAGAAUGGAGGUCAUUCUGCUGGAGCGGUGGCUGCAAUUUUUGAGGAUUGCUUUCUUAUGGCUUGUGAUUUUCCUCUUACUAGUUUUGAGCAUUGUAAUAGAGAAGCGAAUAAAGUUGCCCAUGAGCUUGCUAGAAUGGCAAAAUGUUCCAUGGCUAGGGAUUGGUUUGAGGAGCCCAUGGAAAAUAUUGUAUCUUUUCUUAUAGACUAUGUAGCCAUUAUCUCUAAUUAA
This 264-nucleotide ribosomal RNA is filed under the name Triticum aestivum (bread wheat). RNAcentral describes it as "partial small subunit ribosomal RNA". Lineage: Eukaryota; Viridiplantae; Streptophyta; Magnoliopsida; Poales; Poaceae. The record is from RNAcentral.